Molecule: ribosomal RNA, 497 nt
Filed under: uncultured bacterium
Lineage: Bacteria
Description: partial 16S ribosomal RNA
Rfam family: Bacterial small subunit ribosomal RNA
Source: RNAcentral
GAUGAACGCUGGCGGCGUGCCUAAUACAUGCAAGUCGAGCGAACAGACGAGGAGCUUGCUCCUCUGACGUUAGCGGCGGACGGGUGAGUAACACGUGGAUAACCUACCUAUAAGACUGGGAUAACUUCGGGAAACCGGUGCUAAUACCGGAUAAUAUCUUAAACCGCAUGGUUCAAUAGUAAAAGAUGGUUUUGCUGUCACUUAUAGAUGGAUCCGCGCCGCAUUAGCUAGUUGGUAAGGUAACUGCCUACCAAGGCAACGAUGCGUAGGCGACCUGAGAGGGUGAUGGGACACACUGGAAGUGAGACACGGCCCAGACCUCUACGAGACGGAGGAGGAGGGUAUCUUGCGCAAUGGGAGAAAGCCUGACGGAGAAACGGCGCGAGAGUGAUGAAGUUUCUCGGAGCAUAGAUCUGUGUUUAGGGGGAAAAACAAAUGUGUAAGUAAAUAUGCACGUCUUGACGGUACCUAACCAGAAAGCCACGGCUAACUACGUG